RNAcentral lists this ribosomal RNA (1436 nucleotides) under uncultured bacterium. RNAcentral describes it as "bacterial SSU rRNA". It matches the Rfam family "Bacterial small subunit ribosomal RNA". The record is from RNAcentral.
AGAGUUUGAUCAUGGCUCAGAACGUACGCUGGCGGCACGCCUAACACAUGCAAGUCGAACGAAGUAGCAAUACUUAGUGGCAGACGGGUGAGUAACAUGUGGGUAUCUGCCCUUUGGCCUGGAAUAACACGAGGAAACUUGUGCUAAUACCGGAUAAGUCUUUACGGAGAAAGCUUUAUGCACCAUUGGAUGAGCCCGCACUUGAUUAGUUUGUUGGUGGGGUAAUGGCCUACCAAGACUGUGAUCAAUAGCUGAUUUGAGAGGAUGAUCAGCCACAUUGGGACUGAGACACGGCCCAAACUCCUACGGGAGGCAGCAGUGGGGAAUCUUGCACAAUGGAGGAAACUCUGAUGCAGCGAUGCCGCGUGAGUGAAGAAGGCCCUUGGGUUGUAAAGCUCUUUCGUCGGGGAAGAAAAUGACUGUACCCGAAUAAGAAGGUCCGGCUAACUUCGUGCCAGCAGCCGCGGUAAUACGAAGGGACCUAGCGUAGUUCGGAAUUACUGGGCUUAAAGAGUUCGUAGGUGGUUGAAAAAGUUAGUGGUGAAAUCCCAGAGCUUAACUCUGGAACUGCCAUUAAAACUUUUCAGCUAGAGUAUGAUAGAGGAAAGCAGAAUUUCUAGUGUAGAGGUGAAAUUCGUAGAUAUUAGAAAGAAUACCAAUUGCGAAGGCAGCUUUCUGGAUCAUUACUGACACUGAGGAACGAAAGCAUGGGUAGCGAAGAGGAUUAGAUACCCUCGUAGUCCAUGCCGUAAACGAUGUGUGUUAGACGUUGGAAAUUUAUUUUCAGUGUCGCAGCGAAAGCGAUAAACACACCGCCUGGGGAGUACGACCGCAAGGUUAAAACUCAAAUGAAUUGACGGGGACCCGCACAAGUAGUGGAGCAUGUGGUUUAAUUCGAAGAUACGCGCAGAACCUUACCAACACUUGACAUGUUCGUCGCGACUCUAAGAGAUUAGAGUUUUCGGUUCGGCCGGACGAAACACAGGUGCUGCAUGGCUGUCGUCAGCUCGUGUCGUGAGAUGUUGGGUUAAGUCCCGCAACGAGCGCAACCCUCACUUUUAGUUGCCAUCAUUAAGUUGGGCACUCUGAAAGAACUGCCAGUGAUAAGCUGGAGGAAGGUGGGGAUGACGUCAAGUCCUCAUGGCCCUUACGUGUUGGGCUACACACGUGCUACAAUGGUAUCUACAACAGGAAGCAAGACUGCGAGGUCAAGCAAAUCCUUAAAAGAUACCUCAGUUCGGAUUGCACUCUGCAACUCGAGUGCAUGAAGCUGGAAUUACUAGUAAUCGUGGAUCAGCGUGCCACGGUGAAUGCGUUCCCGGGUCUUGUACACACCGCCCGUCACACCAUGGGAGUUGGUUCUACCUUAAGGCAAGGUUUCAAACCCUUGACCACGGUAUAGUCAGCGACUGGGGUGAAGUCAUAACAAGGUAGCC